CAAAAACUCCAAAUAUCAAAUUACACAACUCCAAUAAUAAAAUUCAACAACUUCUACUGAGGUAUUGUCUUCCCCAAAUCAACAAUAAUCCAAUAAAUGAAAUAAACUCGAGUAAUCAACUGACAACGAAUCAAAGAACUAAACCUACUGUGAAAGAUAACUCCUGCGAAUCUCAAACUCCCUCUCGAACAACUGGAUCUACACGAGCCUCCUGAUGUUGCUCCCGAUCGUACUCAACUAGCUGCUCUCCUCCGCCUACGCUCCAUAAGGAUACGUACCCACGUGCAAAACAAGCAACAUGGGUCAGCAAAUUAUGCUGGUAUGAGUGGACAAGGGUAGGGAACUCCAUUCCCAAAAACAAUAAAAUAACAGACUCCGCGGUCUUUAUAUAUUUAUCUCGUUUACUAAAUAAAUAUUAUAUAUUAUAAUAAUACAUUACCUGAGCUGCACCUCCUAUUAGGAUAAGUCGAGCCCUGCAAGAAAUGUUAAUUGACCUAUCCUCCUGCAAAACUGUGUUAGUACAAUAAUAUAUAAUUCAUGGCAUCUCAAGUCUCGACACUAUAUCUCAAUCACUACAAAUCAAUCAUUACACACAAACAACACUUCACAACCUAUACCCAAUCACUAGUACACCUCCCACAGGAUGUACUCCACACAUUUGCCAUACCCACACUGCACCAGUGUGCCUUGACCAUGGUUAAGACCCUCUACGCGGAAACCAAAACCCAAGUGCGUGCUCACCUGCAAGCUUUGGCUAGCCUCGACGUAUGCCUAACUCAUGGCCUCUACUAGCUCCCUUGAGCUUUCUAAUGUGGCGCCCAGACCAACCCCGAAGGCUAUGAAGGUCUGUAGGGUCAGUUCCGCAGGCUAAGCCGUCUAGGAAAUACCCCAAAAAUAUAUUCCAAGUGUCAACCCGCAGGCUAAGCCGUCUAGGGUGAUAUCUAAUCUUUUCUUAAUCCUAAUUCCACAGGUGUGGCAAAUGUACUAAUGCUUGGGCGACUACCAAAACAUUUAAACUAUCAUCAAUCAAGUAACACUCGACAAUAAAAUUUCACAUCAACUUCACAUCCAAUCCAUUUGUAUUCCUUUCGCAUUUUCCAAAUUAAUCCAAUACCGUCCAUGGUAUAUAAAGCCAUUCUAAGGCAUUCGUCAAUAAAUUUCCCGAAUUCAAUAUUAAUGCGUCUUUUUUUUUUUUUACAUAUAUUCCAAAAUAAAAAUAAAAAUAUACUUUCCACCGAAGUGAACACAUUUCGGUGUGGACGACAAUUCUAUAUGCAUAUAUAUACUGUACUUGUGUGUCCAUAACCAUUCAGCAAAUAGUCUACUGUACUGCUGUCCGAUUCCGCAACCAUUACAUAGUAAUAAAAAAUUCAAAACAAUAUCAACAUAUAUCCCGACUCUGAUCAAUUCCUAUAAGUCCAAAAUAUCAGAAUUCUUAGCUACCUAUAUAGAUAUAUUGUUUUUAAUUCCACAUGCAUCUUAAUACUUCCAAAAAUCUAUAUCACCAGAUUAAAUAGAGAGUCAUACACUGCUGUGUUAAACAUAACCUUAUAAGCUAAUUAUAUGCAUACCAACAUCUGUGCUCACCACGUCAUUCAUAUAAUCAAACAGAGAAAUUAAAACCUCUGAAUAUACAUACUUCAAUUAAACCAUAUCUACUCACCUGUUACCCCACGUCUAAAAUCAAAACCAACAGCAAACAUAUCCCAUAUACCCCACCACUAAAGUCAACUCAUAUAAUUUAAUUAAAUUUAAACUAAUUUAACAAAAUAACAUUCCACUCACCUGCUACUGUUCUUCUUCUCUUCUAAAUUACUCCAACCUCUGCAACUUCUAGGCAGUGUUACUAACACCGAGCACCGCUCCUAAAUUCUGCGACUAACUCCACAACAAUCUCUUCUCUUUCAACUCUGAUCACAGCCGCCUCCACUCUCUCUUUUCCCUCUUCUUCUUCUUCCAAAAAUUCUGAUCGCCGCCACUCUUUGUUUUUUUUAUCGCAAAACAACUUUAAGAUCUUUGUUGCCC
RNAcentral lists this long non-coding RNA (2025 nucleotides) under Aquilegia coerulea. Its description in RNAcentral is "long non-coding RNA (ACOE_LNC000439)". The record is from RNAcentral. Lineage: Eukaryota; Viridiplantae; Streptophyta; Magnoliopsida; Ranunculales; Ranunculaceae.